AGAGUUUGAUCCUGGCUCAGGAGAACGCUAGCGGCAGGCUUAACACAUGCAAGUCGAGGGGCAGCAUGUCCAGCAAUGGAUGAUGGCGACCGGCGGAAGGGUGCGUAACGCGUGAGCAACAUGCCCUAUACAGGGAGAUACACCAGGGAAACUUGGUCUAAUAUCCCAUAGCAUUCAUUGAAGGCAUCUUUAAUGAAUUAAAGCUUCGGUGGUAUAGGAUUGGCUCGCGUGACAUUAGCCAGAUGGUGAGGUAACGGCUCACCAUAGCAAUGAUGUCUAGGGGUUUUGAGAGGAAGGCCCCCCACACUGGGACUGAGACACGGCCCAGACUCCUACGGGAGGCAGCAGUGAGGAAUAUUGGACAAUGGAUGGAAAUCUGAUCCAGCCAUGCCGCGUGCAGGAAGACGGCCUUAUGGGUUGUAAACUGCUUUUAUACGGGAGCAAUAAGGGUUACGAGUAAAAACUCGUCCUUUUUAAUAUCCGGGAGGCAAUUAAAAGGUUACGAGGUAAUUCGGAUUGAGGAGGUAUCUGUAUGAAUAAGGAAUCGGGCUUAACUCCCGUGGCCAAGCAGGCCGCGCGGUUAAUACCGGAGGAUCCCGAAGGCGGUAAUUCCGGAAAUUAUUUGGAUUAAAGGGGGGCGUAAGGCCGGCCAUUUUAAGUCAGCGUUGAAAUUUUUGCAGCUUAACUGUAACAGUGCCCGUUGAUACUGGGGAAGCUAGGAUUUGGUUGCUGUGGGUGGAAUGUGUGGUGUAGCGGUGAAAAUGCUUAGAGAUCACACAGAAUAUCGAUUGCGAAGGCACCUCACAAAGCCCAAGAUUGACGCUGAGGCACGAAAGUGUGGGGAUCAAACAGGAUUAGAUACCCUGGUAGUCCACACUGUAAACGAUGAUAACUCGCUGUCGGCGAUACACAGUCGGCGGCCAAGCGAAAGCGAUAAGUUAUCCACCUGGGGAGUACGACCGCAAGGUUGAAACUCAAAGGAAUUGACGGGGGCCCGCACAAGCGGAGGAACAUGUGGUUUAAUUCGAUGAUACGCGAGGAACCUUACCCGGGCUCGAACGGUGCAUGAAUGGACAAGAGAUUGUUCAGACCUUAGGGACAUGUAUCGAGGUGCUGCAUGGUUGUCGUCAGCUCGUGCCGUGAGGUGUCGGCUUAAGUGCCAUAACGAGCGCAACCCUUGUCAUUAGUUACCAUCAGGUAGAGCUGGGGACUCUAAUGAGACUGCCACCGUAAGGUGAGAGGAAGGGGGGGAUGACGUCAAAUCAGCACGGCCCUUAUGUCCGGGGCGACACACGUGUUACAAUGGGGGGUACAGAGGGCAGCCAUCCGGCGACGGAGCGCCAAUCUCAAAAACCCUUCUCAGUUCGGAUUGGAGUCUGCAACUCGACUCCAUGAAGUUGGAUUCGCUAGUAAUCGCGCAUCAGCCAUGGCGCGGUGAAUACGUUCCCGGGCCUUGUACACACCGCCCGUCAAGCCAUGGAAGCUUGGGGUGCCUGAAGUUCGUGACCGCAAGGAGCGACCUAGGGCAAAACAAGUAACUGGGGCUAAGUCGUAAACAAGGUAACC
RNAcentral lists this ribosomal RNA (1566 nucleotides) under uncultured bacterium. RNAcentral's name for it is "bacterial SSU rRNA". It matches the Rfam family "Bacterial small subunit ribosomal RNA". The record is from RNAcentral.